GAUGAACGCUAGCGACAGGCCUAACACAUGCAAGUCGAGGGGCAGCAUAAAGGUAGCAAUACUUUGGUGGCGACCGGCGCACGGGUGAGUAACACGUAUGCAACCUACCUGUAAGAGGGGAAUAACCCGGAGAAAUUCGGACUAAUACCGCAUAAUACCACGAAGCUGCAUGGCUUUGUGUUUAAACAUUUAUGGCUUACAGAUGGGCAUGCGUAUGAUUAGAUAGUUGGUAGGGUAACGGCCUACCAAGUCAACGAUCAUUAGGGGUUCCGAGAGGAAGGUCCCCACACUGGUACUGAGACACGGACCAGACUCCUACGGGAGGCAGCAGUGAGGAAUAUUGGUCAAUGGGCGAGAGCCUGAACCAGCCAAGUCGCGUGAAGGAAGAAGGUUCUAUGGAUUGUAAACUUCUUUUGUAAGGGAAUAAAAAGAGUUAACGUGUAACUUAUUGUAUGUACUUUACGAAUAAGGAUCGGCUAACUCCGUGCCAGCAGCCGCGGU
RNAcentral lists this ribosomal RNA (501 nucleotides) under uncultured bacterium. Its description in RNAcentral is "bacterial SSU rRNA". It matches the Rfam family "Bacterial small subunit ribosomal RNA", at positions 28 to 521 of the family's 1533-position model. The record is from RNAcentral.